GCGAUCAGAGACCUCUAAUCGGAAAAGACUACCCGC
This 36-nucleotide ribosomal RNA is filed under the name Hookeria lucens. RNAcentral describes it as "partial 26S ribosomal RNA". Lineage: Eukaryota; Viridiplantae; Streptophyta; Bryopsida; Hookeriales; Hookeriaceae. The record is from RNAcentral.